RNAcentral lists this unclassified non-coding RNA (1280 nucleotides) under Daphnia magna. RNAcentral's name for it is "cytosolic Fe-S cluster assembly factor nubp1, transcript variant X2". Lineage: Eukaryota; Metazoa; Arthropoda; Branchiopoda; Diplostraca; Daphniidae. The record is from RNAcentral.
UCGGUUCAUCUCACGUGUUCAAAAAUUUAAUUCAUAAGACAGUAUGGAAACACAAAUGGAAAAUAUUCCUGAGCGUGAGUAUUUAUGCACUAAACAAAUAAAGUCUUCGUUUAUUACCAUGAGAAAUUGCCCAGGUAUUCAAAGUGAAUCUGCUGGUAAAGCAUCCACUUGUGCUGGAUGCCCAAAUCAAAAAAUAUGUGAAUCUGGUGAAGCAAAAUUAGAAGAUCCAAAGAUAAUUGCUGGCAUUCAACAACGCAUGUUGAAUGUAAAACACAAGGUCCUUAUUCUCUCCGGGAAGGGUGGAGUAGGUAAAAGCACAAUAACUACCAUGAUAGCACGGGUGUUUGCCCAGGAUCUAGCCAAAAAUAUUGCUGUUAUGGAUGUUGAUAUUUGUGGCCCAUCAACUCCUCGAAUCAUGGGUGUUGAAGGUGAAACUGUUCACCAAAGUGGUUCAGGCUGGUCUCCCGUUUAUAUAGGUGAAAACUUAUCUCUUAUGUCUGUUGGACUACUACUGGGAAGCCCUGAUGAUGCAGUGAUUUGGAGAGGACCCAAGAAGAAUGGUUUGAUCAAACAGUUCCUUACUGAAGUUGACUGGGGAUCAUUAGAUUACUUGUUCAUGGAUACUCCUCCUGGAACAUCAGAUGAACACUUGUCGAUUGCGCAGUACAUGAUUCCUUGCCAACUUACAGGAGCUAUAAUCGUCACAUCACCCCAAGAGAUUUCGCUUUUGGAUGUUCGUAAAGAAAUAAAUUUUUGUAGAAAGGUCAAUAUUCCUAUAAUUGGCAUCGUUGAAAACAUGAGUUGGUUUGUGUGCCCAAAAUGUACCAAAGAAAGCAUAAUAUUUCCUGCUAGUACAGGGGGUGCGCGGCAAAUGGCAAGUGAGUUCCACUUGCCCUUCCUUGGUCAAAUUCCCCUUGAUCAUCGUCUAGCACAAUCAUGUGAUGAAGGAAAUGAUUUCUUCGAAGCAUAUUCUGAUUCAGCAACUGCUACAGCCUUUAUUGAUCUAGGCAAAGCGAUUGACGCGGAAAUAAGGAAACUGUGAUAUAUGCCGAGCUUCAGCUUCCUCAAGAAAAAUUCCUUAUGACUUCCUACGUUUGGCAUUUCGCUCACACAGAAUCCAUCAAAGAUGCCCAAACACUCUUUCGCCACCAGUCCAAGAGGUAUGGAUAUGAGAGCAUCAGGUAUUUUUCCGAUUCAGUUUAGGUUAUACUUAAAAAUAUUUGUCAUCUUAGGUUAAAUGUAGUCGUAAAGUGAAAAAUCAAAUUAUGUCUACGCCAUGA